This 395-nucleotide RNase P RNA is filed under the name Clostridia bacterium. RNAcentral's name for it is "RNase P RNA component class A". It matches the Rfam family "Bacterial RNase P class A". From Rfam's summary of the family: Ribonuclease P (RNase P) is a ubiquitous endoribonuclease, found in archaea, bacteria and eukarya as well as chloroplasts and mitochondria. Its best characterised activity is the generation of mature 5'-ends of tRNAs by cleaving the 5'-leader elements of precursor-tRNAs. Cellular RNase Ps are ribonucleoproteins. Lineage: Bacteria; Bacillati; Bacillota; Clostridia. The record is from RNAcentral.
GUAGCUAGUUAGACGGUUGAAUUCGCAAGAAUUAGGAAAGUCCGAGCACAGUAGGGCAAUGGUGCAAGAUAACGUCUUGUGGAGGCGACUCCAAGGAUAGUGCAACAGAAAUAAACCGCCACUAACAUCUGCUUUUGUGUUUUUUUGAUAUUUAUAUCAUACCUCCUAUUUUUUCACAUUAGUACAUUUAGUGGUAAGGAUGGAAAGGUGGCUCAAGAGACCACCGGUAUUGCGGAGACGUGAUACGCUAUGUAAACCCCACCUUGUGCAAGAUAAGGGAGUUAAUAGAGUUGCCCGCUCUAUCCCGACAUACAUCGCUUGAGCUUGUUAGCAAUAGCAAGCCUAGAUAGAUGACCGUCCUAGACAGAACUCGGCUUAUAGACUAGGCUACAUUA